UACGUAGGGCGCAAGCGUUGUCCGGAAUUAUUGGGCGUAAAGAGCUCGUAGGUGGCUGGUCGCGUCUGCCGUGAAAACUUGGGGCCUAACUCCAAGCUUGCGGUCGAUACGGGCAGACUUGAGUUCGGCAGGGGAGACUGGAAUUCCUGGUGUAGCGGUGAAAUGCGCAGAUAUCAGGAGGAACACCGGUGGCGAAGGCGGGUCUCUGGGCCGACACUGACGCUGAGGAGCGAAAGCGUGGGGAGCGAACAGG
RNAcentral lists this ribosomal RNA (253 nucleotides) under uncultured bacterium. RNAcentral's name for it is "partial 16S ribosomal RNA". It matches the Rfam family "Bacterial small subunit ribosomal RNA", at positions 524 to 776 of the family's 1533-position model. The record is from RNAcentral.